GAUUUCUGGUGUAACGUCGUCUGGCCCGCUGGGGUUACUCAGUGAGUGCCGGUGCGCGUUUGCCAUCCUUCUAGAGAACGUUGUUGCUAUUUAUUUAGUAGCAGCGCAAUCUAGAUCUUUUACUUUGAAAAAAUUAGAGUGUUUAAAGCAGGCUUAUGCUAUGAAUACAUUAGCAUGGAAUAAUAAUCUAGGACUUUGGUUCUAUUUUGUUGGUUUCUAGGGCUGAAGUAAUGAUUGAUAGGGACAGUUGGGGGUGCUAGUAUUCAGCGGCCAGAGGUGAAAUUCUCGGAUUCGCUGAAGACUAACUUAUGCGAAAGCAUU
RNAcentral lists this ribosomal RNA (321 nucleotides) under Cercozoa sp. RNAcentral describes it as "SSU rRNA". The stretch from base 55 to 321 matches the Rfam family "Eukaryotic small subunit ribosomal RNA", at positions 687 to 955 of the family's 1831-position model. Lineage: Eukaryota; Cercozoa. The record is from RNAcentral.